RNAcentral lists this ribosomal RNA (379 nucleotides) under uncultured Sphingobacteriales bacterium. RNAcentral's name for it is "bacterial SSU rRNA". It matches the Rfam family "Bacterial small subunit ribosomal RNA", at positions 1007 to 1382 of the family's 1533-position model. The record is from RNAcentral. Lineage: Bacteria; Pseudomonadati; Bacteroidota; Sphingobacteriia; Sphingobacteriales.
UUUACGUUUCCUUUCCGGGUACGACCCUACCAAGGUGGCUGCAUGGUUGUCGUCAGCUCGUGCCGUGAGGUGUCGGGUUAAGUCCCAUAACGAGCGCAACCCUUACCGUUAGUUGCCAUCAGGUAAAGCUGGGGACUCUGGCGGGACUGCCACCGUAAGGUGAGAGGAAGUGGGGAUGACGUCAAAUCAGCACGGCCCUUAUGUCCAGGGCUACACACGUGUUACAAUGGCCGGUACAGAGGGCAGCUACCCCGCGAGGGGAUGCGAAUCUUGAAAGCCGGUCUCAGUUCGGAUUGGAGUCUGCAAUUCGACUCCAUGAAGUUGGAUUCGCUAGUAAUCGCGCAUCAGCCAUGGCGCGGUGAAUACGUUCCCGGGCCUU